This is a non-coding RNA of Sciurus carolinensis (gray squirrel), 498 nucleotides long. The record is from the annotation of a RefSeq genome assembly. NCBI's taxonomy places the organism in Eukaryota, Metazoa, Chordata, Mammalia, Rodentia, Sciuridae.
GACCUCUCCAGAGAAGGUGGUGUGAGGCCAAUGCUGAAAAUGCUGCUACUUCUGCUGCUUCUGGGGUCCAGCUAUGGGCUUGGUGCUCAUGUCUCUCAACAUCCAAGCAGGGCCAUCUGUAAGAGUGGGACCUCUGUGAAGAUCAAGUGUCGCUCACUGGACAUACAGUUCCAAACUGUGUAUUGGUACCGCCAGUUCCCCAAAGAGAGCUUCAUGCCUAUGGCAUUUUCUAAUGUGGGCUCUGAUGUCACCUGGGAACAAGGUAAUGCCCAGGACAAGUUUUCUAUUACUCACCCAAACCUCACCUUUGCGUCUCUGGUGGUGACCAGUGCACAUUCUGAAGACAGUGGCUUCUACUUCUGUGUUGCAGAGACACAGUGCUGGGUGGAAGUCAGAGACCUAGGCAAGAAGGUUUGCAGCAGCCUGCCCCACCCACCCUCAGACCCAGGAGCCCAUGGGAGUAGCCUGGGCAGAGAAAACCACAGCUUCUCUCAAUGA